Molecule: small nuclear RNA, 26 nt
Filed under: Arabidopsis thaliana (thale cress)
Lineage: Eukaryota; Viridiplantae; Streptophyta; Magnoliopsida; Brassicales; Brassicaceae
Description: snRNA_01321
Source: RNAcentral
CCAGCGGCUGGAAGAGCACCGCACGU